RNAcentral lists this ribosomal RNA (379 nucleotides) under uncultured bacterium. RNAcentral's name for it is "bacterial SSU rRNA". It matches the Rfam family "Bacterial small subunit ribosomal RNA", at positions 431 to 793 of the family's 1533-position model. The record is from RNAcentral.
UACUUUCAGCAGUGAGGAAGGUGGAGUCGUUAAUAGCGGCCUCAUUUGACGUUAGCUGCAGAAGAAGCACCGGCUAACUCCGUGCCAGCAGCCGCGGUAAUACGGAGGGUGCGAGCGUUAAUCGGAAUUACUGGGCGUAAAGCGCAUGCAGGUGGUUUGUUAAGUUCAGAUGUGAAAGACCCGGGGCGUCAACCUCCGGAAAUUGCAUUUGUAAACUAGGCAGACUAGAGUACUGUAGAGGGGGGUAGGAAUUUCAGGUGUAGCGGUGAAAUGCGUAGAGAUCUGAAGGAAUACCGGUGGCGAAGGCGGCCCCCUCGGACAGAUACUGACACUCAGAUGCGAAAGCGUGGGGAGCAAACAGGAUUAGAUACCCUGGUAG